AGUGAACGCUGGCGGUAGGCCUAACACAUGCCAGUCGAACGGCAGCACAGUAAGAGCUUGCUCUUACGGGUGGCGAGUGGCGGACGGGUGAGGAAUACAUCGGAAUCUACUUUUUCGUGGGGGAUAACGUAGGGAAACUUACGCUAAUACCGCAUACGACCUACGGGUGAAAGCAGGGGAUCUUCGGACCUUGCGCGAUUGAAUGAGCCGAUGUCGGAUUAGCUAGUUGGCGGGGUAAAUGCCCACCAAGGCGACGAUCCGUAGCUGGUCUGAGAGGAUGAUCAGCCACACUGGAACUGAGACACGGUCCAGACUCCUACGGGAGGCAGCAGUGGGGAAUAUUGGACAAUGGGCGCAAGCCUGAUCCAGCCAUACCGCGUGGGUGAAGAAGGCCUUCGGGUUGUAAAGCCCUUUUGUUGGGAAAGAAAAGCAGCAGGUUAAUACCCCGCUGUUCUGACGGUACCCAAAGAAUAAGCACCGGCUAACUUCGUG
This 492-nucleotide ribosomal RNA is filed under the name uncultured bacterium. Its description in RNAcentral is "partial 16S ribosomal RNA". It matches the Rfam family "Bacterial small subunit ribosomal RNA", at positions 29 to 507 of the family's 1533-position model. The record is from RNAcentral.